Molecule: ribosomal RNA, 303 nt
Filed under: uncultured bacterium
Lineage: Bacteria
Description: bacterial SSU rRNA
Rfam family: Bacterial small subunit ribosomal RNA
Source: RNAcentral
UGAGGAAUAUUGGUCAAUGGACGCAAGUCUGAACCAGCCAUGCCGCGUGCAGGAAGACGGCUCUAUGAGUUGUAAACUGCUUUUGUACGAGGGUAAACGCAGAUACGCGUAUCUGUCUGAAAGUAUCGUACGAAUAAGGAUCGGCUAACUCCGUGCCAGCAGCCGCGGUAAUACGGAGGAUUCAAGCGUUAUCCGGAUUUAUUGGGUUUAAAGGGUGCGUAGGCGGUCGGAUAAGUUAGAGGUGAAAUCCCGAGGCUCAACUUCGGAAUUGCCUCUGAUACUGUUCGGCUAGAGAGUAGUUGC